RNAcentral lists this ribosomal RNA (492 nucleotides) under uncultured bacterium. Its description in RNAcentral is "partial 16S ribosomal RNA". It matches the Rfam family "Bacterial small subunit ribosomal RNA", at positions 29 to 507 of the family's 1533-position model. The record is from RNAcentral.
AGUGAACGCUGGCGGUAGGCCUAACACAUGCAAGUCGAACGGCAGCACAGUAAGAGCUUGCUCUUACGGGUGGCGAGUGGCGGACGGGUGAGGAAUACAUCGGAAUCUACUUUUUCGUGGGGGAUAACGUAGGGAAAAUUACGCUAAUACCGCAUACGACCUACGGGUGAAAGCGGGGGAUCUUCGGACCUUGCGCGAUUGAAUGAGCCGAUGUCGGAUUAGCUAGUUGGCGGGGUAAAGGCCCACCAAGGCGACGAUCCGUAGCUGGUCUGAGAGGAUGAUCAGCCACACUGGAACUGAGACACGGUCCAGACUCCUACGGGAGGCAGCAGUGGGGAAUAUUGGACAAUGGGCGCAAGCCUGAUCCAGCCAUACCGCGUGGGUGAAGAAGGCCUUCGGGUUGUAAAGCCCUUUUGUUGGGAAAGAAAAGCAGCAGGUUAAUACCCCGCUGUUCUGACGGUACCCAAAGAAUAAGCACCGGCUAACUUCGUG